AAACUGGGAUUAGAUACCCCACUAUGCCCAGCCGUAAACUUAAUUUACACCUCUAAUCGCCCGGGAACUACGAGCUAAGCUUAAAACCCAAAGGACUUGACGGUACCCCAAAUCCCCCUAGAGGAGCCUGUCCUAUAAUCGAUAACCCCCGUUAAACCUCACCACUCCUUGUCUAUCAGCCUGUAUACCUCCGUCGCCAGCUUACCGCGUGAGCGCUAUUAAGUGAGCUUAAUGCCCAUACGCCCAUACGUCAGGUCAAGGUGCAGCUAAUGAAGUGGGAAGAGAUGGGCUACACUUUCUACCAUAGAAAACACGAAAGACUAUCUAUGAAAUCUAGUCAAAAGGAGGAUUUAGUAGUAAAAAGAAAGCAGAGCGUUCUUUUUAA
RNAcentral lists this ribosomal RNA (385 nucleotides) under Leptodactylus mystaceus (basin white-lipped frog). RNAcentral describes it as "partial 12S ribosomal RNA". It matches the Rfam family "Bacterial small subunit ribosomal RNA", at positions 769 to 1366 of the family's 1533-position model. The record is from RNAcentral. Lineage: Eukaryota; Metazoa; Chordata; Amphibia; Anura; Leptodactylidae.